This 459-nucleotide ribosomal RNA is filed under the name uncultured bacterium. Its description in RNAcentral is "partial 16S ribosomal RNA". It matches the Rfam family "Bacterial small subunit ribosomal RNA", at positions 338 to 795 of the family's 1533-position model. The record is from RNAcentral.
CCUACGGGCGGCAGCAGUGAGGAAUAUUGGUCAAUGGUCGGGAGACUGAACCAGCCAAGCCGCGUGAGGGAUGAAGGUACAGAGUAUCGUAAACCUCUUUUGUCAGGGAACAAAGGCGGGGACGUGUCCCCGGAUGAGUGUACCUGAAGAAACAGCAUCGGCAAACUCCGUGCCAGCAGCCGCGGUAUUACGGAGGAUGCGAGCGUUACCCGGUUUUAUGGGGUUUAAAGGGUGCGCAGGCGGUCGGUUAGGUCAGCGGGCAAGGCCCGGGGCCCACCCCCGGCCCGCCGUUGAAACUGGCAGUCUCGAGUUGGAGAGAGGUAUGCGGAAUGCGCGGUGUAGCGGUGAAAUGCAUAGAUAUCGGGCAGAACUCCGAGUGCGAAGGCAGCAUGCCGGCUCCACACUGACGCUGAGGCACGAAAGCGUGGGUAUCGAACAGGAUUAGAUACCCCAGUAGUC